Long non-coding RNA from Dreissena polymorpha, 1907 nucleotides. RefSeq lists it as uncharacterized. The transcript is spliced from 3 exons. The record is from RefSeq and is a predicted model, not a curated record. Lineage: Eukaryota; Metazoa; Mollusca; Bivalvia; Myida; Dreissenidae.
UACAGAUACUAUAGUGUUUGUAUACCUACGAAAAUAUAUAGGUUUUCGUGACACAGACAGCUAGUAACUAUGUUGUUGUUUUUUUACUGAAAAUAUCCUGUAUAUGUUGACAAUAUCUUCGUCGAUCUGCCCCUUUAGUUUAUACACAUGAACUCAUUUGAUAUCGUAAUCAAGUUUCGUUGUCAAAAGUAUUUUGAUAUUUCAUUACGUUUAUAUAUAGAAAGUAUGCUGUAAAUUGAUUGAUUACUAUGCAAACAUGUAUUUACCAAAUCAUUACUUCAAAUCUUACAAGACAUAAAAUUACAUAUUUCCAAUCAUACAGACAUUCAUCCCCCUUCUUUCCAGCAUCUACAUCCAUCCCUCUGUCCUUCCGUGACACCGUCCGUCCGUUUGUUAGUCAGUCCUUCGAUCGAUCGAUAGAUAGAUCUAUCCAUCAAUGUAUUCAUCAAUGCAACCAUCAAUCCCUCAAUCCAUCCAUCCAUCAAUCAAUCCACAAAUCCACCAUUGUUUAAUCAAACAUCAUUCAAUUCAUAAAACCUCACAAACAUCCAAUCGCCCCAAUCCACCCAUCCACCUAUCCUUCUAUCCAUCCAUCAUUGCAUUGCAACUCCCAGCCAUCUUUCUGCUCAUCCAUACAUAUAUAGAUCAAACAAUCAAAAUAUAUUAAAGUCCAUCCACUAAUUUAUUCAUUCAUCAGUAAAUAAAUCCAUCCACCCUUGUCUACCUUAUCAAUCGACUUAUGAUCAAAAUCAAUACACUUUUCAUGUGUAUGCACUAUUUUUCAUAAAUUGUAAAAAAAAAACACGAAACAAUUCACGUGGAAAAAUCAAGAAGAAUCACAGACCAAAGUAAAAUAAAUUUUCAUAUAUAAGAGUGUAUUUCUGCUUUCAUACAAUUGGUAAAACUAUAACUCAAGACCAUCAGAGUACUGUAAACAAUUUGAAAGAUCUAUAAUUAAAAUGCGAACAAUACUUAAAGAAGAUGUUCGACCAAUUUAAAAUGGAUUGUGCAAAGAAGAUGUUCGACCAAUUUAAAAUGGAUUGUGCAAAGAAGGUCAAUACUUAUGCUGAUUAGGAUAGGGCUAAAGUCGCUAAACGGAUAUGUAAUACCAUGAAAAUAAAGGAAAUAAUUUCAAAGGAUGAAGUUCGUCCAUUACAUUUAUUUGUUGCUGAUAAAAAAACGCAACGAUAUCGCAUGAUGAAGAUUCGAAGUUACAGCAGUCUACUAAAAGAAGGUACUUACAAUACGAUAAAUAUUACUUUUCUCAAGCGUUUAUAUGCAAUGCAUACAUGUUGUUGAUAUUAUACAACUGUGUUAUUUUUCGUUCGAACACAUACAUAUUAAAUCUGCGCCGCUGGCUAUAAUGUUUAGAACAUAUUUUACUCAUCUCAGUAUCAACUGUUGAAACCAUUGCUUGAAUUGUAUGACAAAAAAGAUAAAUCAAAGAAACCUCGAACAGAUGAGCCAUCUGAACAACAGGAUUUAUAUUAAAAUCAAGAGCAGUUGAUGGCAUUACAAGAGAAAGAAAAACAACGACAAGUGGAAGAAAGUAAGCACAUGCGUUAUACAGUGUAUAGUCACUUUUUUUAGUUGCUUGAGGAAUACGAGAAAAGAACAGACACAGCACAGUUGUCACAAUCAAAAAUAGAUGCAUUGGAUCAUUCAUGGACAACUGACGCAGGCGUGAAAUCAAAUGUAGAAGGUGAGCUUGUGGUGUUUGAAAUAAACUUCGCGUGAUGUCCAUCGGAUGUUACCGAAAGCGUUAUUAGCGAAUUGAGAAUAAAGGCCAUAUUCUGGGCCGCUGUUAGAGAGGAAAAGAAAAUGCCGGAAUCACAAACAGACAAGAAUUAUAGUCAACUGUACGAGAUUCUAGUCAUGGGGAAAACGCAUCACCAAAGAUUAAAUGA